GCUAAGCCCUCCAGCGCCGAUGGUACUGCACUCGGGAGGGUGUGGGAGAGUAGGACACCGCCGGAC
This 66-nucleotide ribosomal RNA is filed under the name Micromonospora avicenniae. Lineage: Bacteria; Bacillati; Actinomycetota; Actinomycetes; Micromonosporales; Micromonosporaceae. The record is from RNAcentral.